Fundulus heteroclitus (mummichog) is the source of this 326-nucleotide long non-coding RNA. RefSeq lists it as uncharacterized. Lineage: Eukaryota; Metazoa; Chordata; Actinopteri; Cyprinodontiformes; Fundulidae. The record is from RefSeq and is a predicted model, not a curated record. The transcript has 3 exons.
CGUAAGCCAAUGAGUUAAACACUUCAGCUGGAAGUACGACUAAGACACAAAAUGUCUGUAGCUCAUCUUAGUCUUUCCAAAAUAUCUAAAAAGAUAAUGAAACCUAGUCUAAAUCUACCUAGGCUACAAAUCCUAACCACACUGAUUCAGCUAAUCACCAAUAUAUACACUAAGGAAAAGGCUAGAAGUUUGUCUUAAAUCUUCUCUGCACCCUCAUUGGCUGGCCUCCCUGCCAAUCACAAUUAACAGUUAGUUUAAUUAAUACUUUUGCAGAUUUUUAGACAUAUAUCCUAGUUCUGAGGUAAUAAAACUACUAAAAGUCAUGU